AGUGAACGCUGGCGGUAGGCCUAACACAUGCAAGUCGAACGGCAGCACAGUAAGAGCUUGCUCUUACGGGUGGCGAGUGGCGGACGGGUGAGGAAUACAUCGGAAUCUACUUUUUCGUGGGGGAUAACGUAGGGAAACUUACGCUAAUACCGCAUACGACCUACGGGUUAAAGCAGGGGAUCUUCGGACCUUGCGCGAUUGAAUGAGCCGAUGUCGGAUUAGCUAGUUGGCUGGGUAAAGGCCCACCAAGGCGACGAUCCGUAGCUGGUCUGAGAGGAUGAUCAGCCACACUGGAACUGAGACACGGUCCAGACUCCUACGGGAGGCAGCAGUGGGGAAUAUUGGACAAUGGGCGCAAGCCUGAUCCAGCCAUACCGCGUGGGUGAAGAAGGCCUUCGGGUUGUAAAGCCCUUUUGUUGGGAAAGAAAAGCAGCAGGUUAAUACCCCGCUGUUCUGACGGUACCCAAAGAAUAAGCACCGGCUAACUUCGUG
Molecule: ribosomal RNA, 492 nt
Filed under: uncultured bacterium
Lineage: Bacteria
Description: partial 16S ribosomal RNA
Rfam family: Bacterial small subunit ribosomal RNA
Source: RNAcentral